RNAcentral lists this transfer RNA (74 nucleotides) under Podarcis lilfordi (Lilford's wall lizard). RNAcentral describes it as "tRNA.Lys". The stretch from base 4 to 61 matches the Rfam family "tRNA", at positions 8 to 63 of the family's 71-position model. From Rfam's summary of the family: Transfer RNA (tRNA) molecules are approximately 80 nucleotides in length. Their secondary structure includes four short double-helical elements and three loops (D, anti-codon, and T loops). Further hydrogen bonds mediate the characteristic L-shaped molecular structure. tRNAs have two regions of fundamental functional importance: the anti-codon, which is responsible for specific mRNA codon recognition, and the 3' end, to which the tRNAs corresponding amino acid is attached (by aminoacyl-tRNA synthetases). tRNAs cope with the degeneracy of the genetic code in two manners: having more than one tRNA (with a specific anti-codon) for a particular amino acid; and 'wobble' base-pairing, i.e. permitting non-standard base-pairing at the 3rd anti-codon position. Lineage: Eukaryota; Metazoa; Chordata; Lepidosauria; Squamata; Lacertidae. The record is from RNAcentral.
CGAUAGCUCAGUGGGUAGAGCAAGAGACUUUUAAUCUUAGGGUCAUGGGUUCAAGCCCCACAAUGGGUGAAAGA